AAGGGCACCACAAGAACGCGUGGAGCAUGUGGCUUAAUUUGACCCAACGCGGGAAAUCUUACCGGGUCCGGACACACUGAGGAUUGACAGGCAAUAUUAAAAUUCGUGCAUCUCACUUCGGUGUUAUGUUUCGAAUUUUAUGUUAAAUAUGCUAGUCCUUUCAUGAUUAUGUGAUAGGUGGUGCAUGGCCGUUCUUAGUUCGUGGAGUGAUCUGUCUGCUUAAUUGCGUUUCACUAAGGGCUUAUAAUUUUAACGUGUGUUGUCAGUACUUUGACCCCAACUUUGAAAUAUAAGUUGUGAGUGUCUUAGUUUGCUAGACUCGCACAAAUGAGUCCUGAAAGCAACGAACGUGACCG
RNAcentral lists this ribosomal RNA (356 nucleotides) under Foraminifera environmental sample. RNAcentral's name for it is "SSU rRNA". It matches the Rfam family "Eukaryotic small subunit ribosomal RNA", at positions 1160 to 1427 of the family's 1831-position model. The record is from RNAcentral. Lineage: Eukaryota; Foraminifera.